RNAcentral lists this ribosomal RNA (643 nucleotides) under uncultured Actinomycetes bacterium. RNAcentral describes it as "bacterial SSU rRNA". It matches the Rfam family "Bacterial small subunit ribosomal RNA", at positions 232 to 885 of the family's 1533-position model. Lineage: Bacteria; Bacillati; Actinomycetota; Actinomycetes. The record is from RNAcentral.
CGCGGCCUAUCAGCUUGUUGGCGGGGUAAUGGCCCACCAAGGCAACGACGGGUAGCUGGUCUGAGAGGAUGGUCAGCCACACUGGGACUGAGACACGGCCCAGACUCCUACGGGAGGCAGCAGUGGGGAAUCUUGCGCAAUGGGCGAAAGCCUGACGCAGCAACGCCGCGUGCGGGAAGAAGGCUUUCGGGCUGUAAACCUCUUUCAGCAGGGAAGAAGCGAAAGUGACGGUACCUGCAGAAGAAGCACCGGCUAACUACGUGCCAGCAGCCGCGGUAAUACGUAGGGUGCAAGCGUUGUCCGGAAUUAUUGGGCGUAAAGAGCUCGUAGGCGGUCUGUCGCGUCGGAUGUGAAAACCCAGGGCUCAACCCUGGGCCUGCAUUCGAUACGGGCAGACUAGAGUUCGGUAGGGGAGACUGGAAUUCCUGGUGUAGCGGUGAAAUGCGCAGAUAUCAGGAGGAACACCGGUGGCGAAGGCGGGUCUCUGGGCCGAAACUGACGCUGAGGAGCGAAAGCGUGGGGAGCGAACAGGAUUAGAUACCCUGGUAGUCCACGCCGUAAACGUUGGGCGCUAGGUGUGGGGAACCUUCCACGUUCUCCGUGCCGCAGCUAACGCAUUAAGCGCCCCGCCUGGGGAGUACGG